UACGUAGGGAGCAAGCGUUGUCCGGAAUCAUUGGGCGUAAAGCGCGCGUAGGUGGCUUCGUAAGUCCGUUGUGAAAGUCAAAGGCUCAACCUUUGAAAGCCGAUGGAUACUGCGGAGCUAGAGUACGGAAGAGGCGAGUGGAAUUCCUGGUGUAGCGGUGGAAUGCGCAGAUAUCAGGAGGAACACCAAUAGCGAAGGCAGCUCGCUGGGACGUUACUGACACUGAGGCGCGAAAGCGGGGGGAGCGAACAGG
Molecule: ribosomal RNA, 253 nt
Filed under: uncultured bacterium
Lineage: Bacteria
Description: partial 16S ribosomal RNA
Rfam family: Bacterial small subunit ribosomal RNA
Source: RNAcentral